RNAcentral lists this ribosomal RNA (253 nucleotides) under uncultured bacterium. Its description in RNAcentral is "partial 16S ribosomal RNA". It matches the Rfam family "Bacterial small subunit ribosomal RNA", at positions 524 to 776 of the family's 1533-position model. The record is from RNAcentral.
UACGGGGGGGGCAAGCGUUGUUCGGAAUUACUGGGCGUAAAGGGCUCGUAGGCGGCCAGCUAAGUCAGACGUGAAAUCCCUCGGCUUAACCGGGGAACUGCGUCUGAUACUGGAUGGCUUGAAUCCGGGAGAGGGAUGCGGAAUUCCAGGUGUAGCGGUGAAAUGCGUAGAUAUCUGGAGGAACACCGGUGGCGAAGGCGGCAUCCUGGACCGGUAUUGACGCUGAGGAGCGAAAGCCAGGGGAGCAAACGAG